GUGAACGCUGGCGGUAGGCCUAACACAUGCCAGUCGAACGGCAGCACAGUAAGAGCUUGCUCUUACGGGUGGCGAGUGGCGGACGGGUGAGGAAUACAUCGGAAUCUACUUUUUCGUGGGGGAUAACGUAGGGAAACUUACGCUAAUACCGCAUACGACCUACGGGUGAAAGCAGGGGAUCUUCGGACCUUGCGCGAUUGAAUGAGCCGAUGUCGGAUUAGCUAGUUGGCGGGGUAAAGGCCCACCAAGGCGACGAUCCGUAGCUGGUCUGAGAGGAUGAUCAGCCACACUGGAACUGAGACACGGUCCAGACUCCUACGGGAGGCAGCAGUGGGGAAUAUUGGACAAUGGGCGCAAGCCUGAUCCAGCCAUACCGCGUGGGUGAAGAAGGCCUUCGGGUUGUAAAGCCCUUUUGUUGGGAAAGAAAAGCAGCAGGUUAAUACCCCGCUGUUCUGACGGUACCCAAAGGAUAAGCACCGGCUAACUUCGUG
This 491-nucleotide ribosomal RNA is filed under the name uncultured bacterium. RNAcentral describes it as "partial 16S ribosomal RNA". It matches the Rfam family "Bacterial small subunit ribosomal RNA", at positions 29 to 507 of the family's 1533-position model. The record is from RNAcentral.